AAAAACGUCUGGGUAUGAAAGUGAGAAGGACUGAGGAACCUUCUAGAUUAAAGGAGAGUAAACAGACAUGGCCACUAAAUGGAGCAGAUCCUGUACUGGACAUGUUCCAUGAGUUACACUAAGCUCUCUGGGACCAGAGCUGUGGACAGCAGAGACCCGGGCCUUGCCUCCCAGAACUUCCACUGCAGGGGAUGUGAUGGACACUAGUGAGCAUAAGCGCUACGGAAGCACAAGGAGGGGCAUCUCAUCCAGACCAAGAGGAACCAUGCAUUGACCUGAUGAGGUUUGGAGUACAGGUGGCAAAUGUUGUAAUUCCUGCUCUGCAGUGGAGAUGACUGAACUCAGAGAAAUGAAAUGAACUGACCCAG
Long non-coding RNA from Equus caballus (horse), 368 nucleotides. RefSeq lists it as uncharacterized. NCBI's taxonomy places the organism in Eukaryota, Metazoa, Chordata, Mammalia, Perissodactyla, Equidae. The record is from RefSeq and is a predicted model, not a curated record.